CAGUAGCCACGGUAAUACGGAGGGUGCAAGCGUUACUCGGAAUCACUGGGCGUAAAGGACGCGUAGGCGGAUUAUCAAGUCUCUUGUGAAAUCUAACGGCUUAACCGUUAAACUGCUUGGGAAACUGAUAAUCUAGAGUAUGGGAGAGGCAGAUGGAAUUCUCGGUGUAGGGGUGAAAUGCGUAGAUAUCGGAAGGAACACCUGUGGCGAAAGCGGCUCACUGGACAUUUACUGACGCUGAUGCACGAAAGCUAGGGGAGCAAACAGGAUUAGAUACCCGUGUAGUCCCUGUCUCUUAUAC
Molecule: ribosomal RNA, 301 nt
Filed under: uncultured bacterium
Lineage: Bacteria
Description: partial 16S ribosomal RNA
Rfam family: Bacterial small subunit ribosomal RNA
Source: RNAcentral